GAUGAACGCUAGCGGCGUGCCUAACACAUGCAAGUCGAACGUGAGAGGGUACUUGUAUCCUUGAAAGUGGCGGACGGGUGAGUAAGACGUAGGUGACCUGCCUCGAAGUGGGGGAUAACCAUUGGAAACGAUGGCUAAUACCGCAUAAGCUGGUGACGAUGGGAAUGGUUAUCAGGAAAGCUUUAGUGCUUUGAGAGGGGCCUACGGCCGAUUAGCUAGUUGGUGAGGUAAAGGCUCACCAAGGCGAUGAUCGGUAGCUGGUCUGAGAGGACGAUCAGCCACACGGGAACUGAGACACGGUCCCGACUCCUACGGGGGGCAGCAGUGAGGAAUAUUCGGCAAUGGGGGCAACCCUGACCGAGCAACGCCGCGUGGAGGAUGACGGUUUUCGGAUUGUAAACUCCUUUUCUCAGGGAAGAGCGAGGACGGUACCUGGGGAAUAAGUCACGGCUAACUACGUG
Molecule: ribosomal RNA, 461 nt
Filed under: uncultured bacterium
Lineage: Bacteria
Description: bacterial SSU rRNA
Rfam family: Bacterial small subunit ribosomal RNA
Source: RNAcentral